This 231-nucleotide unclassified non-coding RNA is filed under the name plant metagenome. RNAcentral's name for it is "partial contains small subunit ribosomal RNA, internal transcribed spacer 1, and 5.8S ribosomal RNA". The record is from RNAcentral.
UCUCCGUUGGUGAACCAGCGGAGGGAUCAUUACAGAGUUGCAAAACUCCCAAACCAUUGUGAACAUUACCUAUCCCGUUGCUUCGGCGGGCGGCCCGGGCCCCGCGCCCGGCGCCCCCCGGCCCCCCGUGGGCGCCCGCCGGAGGUAUACCAAACCCUUGAAUUGCAUGGCCUCUCUGAGUCUCCUGUACUGAAUAAGUCAAAACUUUCAACAACGGAUCUCUUGGUUCUG